Molecule: ribosomal RNA, 1281 nt
Filed under: metagenome
Description: bacterial LSU rRNA
Rfam family: Bacterial large subunit ribosomal RNA
Source: RNAcentral
CUACCGCAAACCGACACAGGUAGGCGAGGAGAGAAUCCUAAGGUGAUCGAGAGAACUCUCGUUAAGGAACUCGGCAAAAUGACCCCGUAACUUCGGGAGAAGGGGUGCUCUGUUAGGGUGCAAGCCCGAGAGAGCCGCAGUGAAUAGGCCCAGGCGACUGUUUAGCAAAAACACAGGUCUCUGCGAAGCCGUAAGGCGAAGUAUAGGGGCUGACGCCUGCCCGGUGCUGGAAGGUUAAGAGGAGCGCUUAGCGUAAGCGAAGGUGCGAAUUGAAGCCCCAGUAAACGGCGGCCGUAACAAUAACGGUCCUAAGGUAGCGAAAUUCCUUGUCGGGUAAGUUCCGACCCGCACGAAAGGCGCAACGAUCUGGGCACUGUCUCAACGAGAGACUCGGUGAAAUUAUAGUACCUGUGAAGAUGCAGGUUACCCGCGACAGGACGGAAAGACCCCGUGGAGCUUUACUGCAGCCUGAUAUUGAAUGUUGGUACAGCUUGUACAGGAUAGGUAGGAGCCUUGGAAACCGGAGCGCCAGCUUCGGUGGAGGCAUCGGUGGGAUACUACCCUGGCUGUAUUGACCUUCUAACCCGCCGCCCUUAUCGGGCGGGGAGACAGUGUCAGGUGGGCAGUUUGACUGGGGCGGUCGCCUCCUAAAAGGUAACGGAGGCGCCCAAAGGUUCCCUCAGAAUGGUUGGAAAUCAUUCGCAGAGUGUAAAGGCACAAGGGAGCUUGACUGCGAGACCUACAAGUCGAGCAGGGACGAAAGUCGGGCUUAGUGAUCCGGUGGUUCCGCAUGGAAGGGCCAUCGCUCAACGGAUAAAAGCUACCCCGGGGAUAACAGGCUUAUCUCCCCCAAGAGUCCACAUCGACGGGGAGGUUUGGCACCUCGAUGUCGGCUCAUCGCAUCCUGGGGCUGUAGUCGGUCCCAAGGGUUGGGCUGUUCGCCCAUUAAAGCGGUACGCGAGCUGGGUUCAGAACGUCGUGAGACAGUUCGGUCCCUAUCCGUCGCGGGCGCAGGAAAUUUGAGAGGAGCUGUCCUUAGUACGAGAGGACCGGGAGGGACGCACCGCUGGUGUACCAGUUGUUCUGCCAAGGGCAUCGCUGGGUAGCUAUGUGCGGACGGGAUAAGUGCUGAAAGCAUCUGAGCAUGAAGCCCCCCUCAAGAUGAGAUUUCCCAUUCCGCAAGGAAGUAAGAUCCCUGAAAGAUGAUCAGGUUGAUAGGUCUGAGGUGGAAGUGUGGCGACACAUGGAGCUGACAGAUACUAAUCGAUCGAGGACUUAAUC